GUCGAGAAUAAUUCACAAUGGGGGAAACCCUGAUGGUGCAACGCCGCGUGGAGGAUGAAGGUCUUCGGAUUGUAAACUCCUGUCAUCUGGGAGUAAGACCUGACGGUGAAUAGCCGGCAGGGUUGAUAGUACCAGAAGAGGAAGGGACGGCUAACUUCGUGCCAGCAGCCGCGGUAAUACGAAGGUCCCAAGCGUUGUUCGGAAUCACUGGGCGUAAAGGGAGCGUAGGCUGCGCGGUAAGUCAGGUGUGAAAUCCCGGGGCUCAACCCCGGAACUGCACCCGAUACUGCCGUGCUAGAGUGUUGGAGAGGUGACUGGAAUUCUCGGGGUAGCAGUGAAAUGCGUGGAUAUCGAGAGGAACACUCGUGGCGAAGGCGAGUCACUGGACAACAUCUGACGCUGAGGCUCGAAGGCCAGGGGAGCAAAAGGGAUUAGAAACCCGUGUAGUCC
RNAcentral lists this ribosomal RNA (450 nucleotides) under uncultured bacterium. Its description in RNAcentral is "partial 16S ribosomal RNA". It matches the Rfam family "Bacterial small subunit ribosomal RNA", at positions 354 to 796 of the family's 1533-position model. The record is from RNAcentral.